Long non-coding RNA from Sinocyclocheilus rhinocerous, 360 nucleotides. RefSeq lists it as uncharacterized. The record is from RefSeq and is a predicted model, not a curated record. Lineage: Eukaryota; Metazoa; Chordata; Actinopteri; Cypriniformes; Cyprinidae. The transcript is spliced from 3 exons.
CCUCGUGUGGAAACCUGACUCAUGAAGUGGUUUGGCACCUCCAUAGUCCCAGAGCUGAAGCUGCUGUCAGCGCAUCUUUGGCUGGACUGAGACCUUGAUUCUACCAUAGGACAUGAUGACUUCACUUUCUUCCAGACCACAUGCCAAACAUGCAUGUUUGCUUUCUGUUGGCUGGGAUCUUGGAGAUGGACAUGUUAUCCUUUACAUGGAGUACUUUGGUAUUUACCUGAAUAAGCCUCACAUCAUCAAAGUUUUUCUUGCCUCAUUUGCACUUGGCCUUUGGAAAUGUGGAGAAUAUUGCUUCAAUUUCUUCUUGUAAUUUAUAGUGCCAUAUUCAACCAGACAAUGAUGCCCUCUUCU